This 476-nucleotide ribosomal RNA is filed under the name uncultured bacterium. RNAcentral's name for it is "bacterial SSU rRNA". It matches the Rfam family "Bacterial small subunit ribosomal RNA", at positions 30 to 507 of the family's 1533-position model. The record is from RNAcentral.
AUUGAACGCUGGCGGCAUGCCUUACACAUGCAAGUCGAACGGUAACAGGUUAAGCUGACGAGUGGCGAACGGGUGAGUAAUAUAUCGGAACGUGCCCAGUUGUGGGGGAUAACUACUCGAAAGAGUGGCUAAUACCGCAUGAGACCUGAGGGUGAAACGGGGGAUCGCAAGACCUCGCGCAGUUGGAGCGGCCGAUAUCAGAUUAGCUAGUUGGCGGGGUAAAAGCCCACCAAGGCGACGAUCUGUAGCUGGUCUGAGAGGACGACCAGCCACACUGGGGCUGAGACACGGCCCAGACUCCUACGGGAGGCAGCAGUGGGGAAUUUUGGACAAUGGACGCAAGUCUGAUCCAGCCAUGCCGCGUGUGGGAAGAAGGCCUUCGGGUUGUAAACCACUUUUGUCAGGGAAGAAACGGCUCGGGUUAAUACCUUGGGCUAAUGACGGUACCUGAAGAAUAAGCACCGGCUAACUACGUG